GACUGAACAUCUGUUUCUAGAAUAGGUCAUAAUGAGGCCAUUGAGAGAGUUCUGCGACUCCAAUCUGUUCCCUUCUAGGGUGGGUAAGUCCUGUUCUGAAAUUCCCAUUCAGG
This is an unclassified non-coding RNA of Cavia porcellus (domestic guinea pig), 113 nucleotides long. Lineage: Eukaryota; Metazoa; Chordata; Mammalia; Rodentia; Caviidae. The record is from Ensembl.